Molecule: long non-coding RNA, 319 nt
Filed under: Prunus persica (peach)
Lineage: Eukaryota; Viridiplantae; Streptophyta; Magnoliopsida; Rosales; Rosaceae
Description: long non-coding RNA (PPER_LNC004206)
Source: RNAcentral
CUUGCUGUAUGGACGUUAAUCCCGCACCAUACCUUAAAUAAAAUUAAAUGUGCGGUAAAGUAAACGUGCUUGUAUGGGCACUAAUUCUGCUCCAUACAUUUAAAUAAAAGCAAAGGCGUGGACGAUAAACCCGCACCACCCUUUAAAUAUUGCCGUAUGGGUAAUAAACCUACACCAUACCAUAAAUAAAAUAAAUAAGCAAAGGCGUGGACGAUAAACCCGCACCACCCUUUAAAUAUUGUUGUAUGGGUAAUAAACCUACACCAUACCAUAAAUAAAAUAAAUAAGCAAAGGCGUGGACGAUAAACCCGCACCACCC